RNAcentral lists this ribosomal RNA (422 nucleotides) under uncultured Capnocytophaga sp. RNAcentral's name for it is "bacterial SSU rRNA". It matches the Rfam family "Bacterial small subunit ribosomal RNA", at positions 355 to 774 of the family's 1533-position model. The record is from RNAcentral. Lineage: Bacteria; Pseudomonadati; Bacteroidota; Flavobacteriia; Flavobacteriales; Flavobacteriaceae.
UGAGGAAUAUUGGACAAUGGUCGGAAGACUGAUCCAGCCAUGCCGCGUGCAGGAAGACAGCCUUAUGGGUUGUAAACUGCUUUUGCAGGGGAAGAAUAAGGACUACGUGUAGUUUGAUGACGGUACUCUGCGAAUAAGCAUCGGCUAACUCCGUGCCAGCAGCCGCGGUAAUACGGAGGAUGCGAGCGUUAUCCGGAAUCAUUGGGUUUAAAGGGUCCGUAGGCGGGCUAAUAAGUCAGAGGUGAAAGCGCUCAGCUCAACUGAGCAACUGCCUUUGAAACUGUUAGUCUUGAAUGGUUGUGAAGUAGUUGGAAUGUGUAGUGUAGCGGUGAAAUGCUUAGAUAUUACACAGAACACCGAUAGCGAAGGCAUAUUACUAACAAUUAAUUGACGCUGAUGGACGAAAGCGUGGGGAGCGAACA